GCAGGCGCAAUGAGCGGCGGAAGUAGUUACUGGGAAGUAAGCAAGCGGCAGUUUCCCUUGGCGUAAGGCUCCUCCUCCCGCCGCGGGUUGCUCCUCUGCACGUGUGCCCGGGCCCCGCCCCACACCGCCAGUGCUUUGGCCGCUUGGGCGCCUCCUCCCGCGCAGAGAUGGCGCACGACCCCGCAGGUGAUUUUUGAAGAAUGAUCAAGAAUUCUUGCAAGACACUUAAGACUGUUUUACAGAGGAGUAUUGUAACCGAGAAUUUAUAAUAACAGCAUCUCAGACAUGUUGAAAAAGAUGUUUUGAUCCCUAAAAUUAUGAGAGAAAAGGCCCGAGAGAGGUGCUCUGAACAAGUUCAAG
This 360-nucleotide long non-coding RNA is filed under the name Sus scrofa (pig). Its description in RNAcentral is "lncRNA (ENSSSCG00015021431.1)". The record is from RNAcentral. Lineage: Eukaryota; Metazoa; Chordata; Mammalia; Artiodactyla; Suidae.